GACGAGGGAUCCUAGCGUUGCUCGGAAUCAUUGGGCGUAAAGCGAAUGUAGGCGGCUUUGUAAGUCAGUUGUGAAAUCCCCGGGCUCAACUCGGGAACUGCUUCUGAUACUGCAAAGCUAGAGUAUGGGAGAGGGUAGUAGAAUUCCUGGUGUAGUGGUGAAAUACGUAGAUAUCAGGAGGAAUACCGGUGGCGAAGGCGGCUACCUGGACCAAUACUGACGCUGAGGAGCGAAAGCCAGGGGAGCAAACGGG
Molecule: ribosomal RNA, 253 nt
Filed under: uncultured bacterium
Lineage: Bacteria
Description: partial 16S ribosomal RNA
Rfam family: Bacterial small subunit ribosomal RNA
Source: RNAcentral